This 380-nucleotide ribosomal RNA is filed under the name uncultured archaeon. RNAcentral's name for it is "bacterial SSU rRNA". It matches the Rfam family "Archaeal small subunit ribosomal RNA", at positions 471 to 851 of the family's 1478-position model. The record is from RNAcentral.
UAAUACCCGCGUCUCGAGUGGUAUUCAUUUUUAUUAGGUUUAAAGCGUCCGUAGCCGGUUUAAUAAGUUCCUGGUGAAAUUUCAUAGUAAACUAUGGAGCUUGCUAGGAAUACUGUUGAACUUGGGACCGGGAAAGGGUAGAGGUACUCCUGAGGAAGGGGUAAAAUCCUAUAAUCUUAGGAUGACCACCUGUGGCGAAGGCGUCUACCUGGAACGGAUCCGACGGUGAUGGACGAAACCUAGGGGAGCGAUUGGGAUUAGAUACCCCAGUAGUCCUAGGCGUAAACGAUGCCCGUUUGGUAUUGCAUGCCUUUUGUGGGUUUGCAGUGUCGUAGUGUAAAUGUUAAACGGGCCACCUGAGAAGUACGGUCGCAAGGCUA